This 787-nucleotide small RNA is filed under the name Histoplasma capsulatum. RNAcentral describes it as "hypothetical RNA". Lineage: Eukaryota; Fungi; Ascomycota; Eurotiomycetes; Onygenales; Ajellomycetaceae. The record is from RNAcentral. RNAcentral also lists the same sequence under 1 other name.
CCCAGUCCUUCGGGCUUGAACCGGAUACGACUAUCUUGAUAAGGGCCUGGUCGUCGUUCGGUUUGGAAUGAGGCUGCCCACGAUUUUGACAGUUGGUCCCGCAUGGCUGAUUGCCUCCUAGCGGGCUAAUAUGUUUAUAAAAGCCAUAUAUAUAUAAUGACAGAUGUCGAUUGAGUUCCAUGAAAAGGCUCGCGGACGCCAUUGCGUUGCUGCCAUGAGUGAUAGAGGUAGGUAAGAGAUCCAUGUCGUAGAAAACGAAAGGAAGCCUGAAAGUUAUGGCAACGGUUUAGACUCACUAGAAGAAGCACAUGGGAUACUGCCAUAAACUUCUCUGUGAGUUGACCUCGCCAAUGAUGGCAUGGGGCCCGGUCAUAUUUUCACCGGAUUCCCGGAGUUCCAUUUCAAGGGCUGAUGUGGGAAGUUGAGAAGGAAUUCGCGGAAGGGUGUCAAUCAGAGCUGUAAAUACGUCCAUGGCCCAUUAUUACCCUGUGGAUAGGAAGAAGAAAACAAAGUCCUGAGGCUCUUCAGGCGUAUAUGUCUUAACUUAGUCCAGAGUUCCUUGGAUAGAAUGAGUGAAUUUCCCCCGAACGCUUCGCUCACUUGCCGUUUUGCAGAAACAAUUGAGUUUGACGUUGCCAAAGUUUGGAGAUGUUUGGCCGAGAUGUUUUUGGUUCCCGGAGAUGCAACAUUGGCUUGUUCUUGCUUUUAUUCUAUCAUUUUUUAUUAGUUAUUCACGGAAGUAUCUUUUCGGAGUUGAGGCUACGGUUAAUUUUUUUUUUUUUUUUUU